CCUCUCUCGCACUCUCUCAAAUCUUGCCUCAUCUCCAGCUCGCCAGCCAUCUCCCUACUGUCCAAUCCAGUUCUCCACCCAUCAAUCGUCAUAACCCAGCUCUCCUCAAAUUCGGAACCCUAGCUUGACCCUAGCCAAGCCGCCGCAACUCACGACCUCCGUUGUCGACCUCCACCGCGAAGCCACUAUCGCGACUCCACAGCCCAGCCACAGUCGCGACCUCCGUUGUCGUUCUCGACAGCGGGGCAUUCAUGGGCUCCAUUUUUGGCUACGGUCCUCUAUCUCUCUCCCUCUCCUUCUCUGUAAGUCCUCUUCUUCUCCGUCUUCAAAUUUCAGUAAUCCUCUUUACCACUAACCUGAACCACCUACUUCUCUGGUUCUCUUCUUCUUCAUGUCAUUCAAUUUCAAUUUUUUUUCUUUCUAAAUUCUAUU
Non-coding RNA from Prunus avium (sweet cherry), 432 nucleotides. NCBI's taxonomy places the organism in Eukaryota, Viridiplantae, Streptophyta, Magnoliopsida, Rosales, Rosaceae. The record is from RefSeq and is a predicted model, not a curated record.